Toxotes jaculatrix (banded archerfish) is the source of this 1706-nucleotide RNA transcript. It is a transcript of the gene named B-cell receptor CD22-like, with no coding region annotated. The transcript is spliced from 9 exons. Lineage: Eukaryota; Metazoa; Chordata; Actinopteri; Toxotidae. The record is from RefSeq and is a predicted model, not a curated record.
CCUGAUUACAGCACGUUUCAAAGCUUUACUUUGCUGAAAGCUGUACUAAGUAAAGGAAGAAGAAAAAAAAAGCACAGUAACUGUAUUUUUUGAGUAGAAAACAAAUGUAGCCUGCUUUUUGCAGUAGUAAGAUCGAUUAGGAGCUUUGUGAUUACUUGACUGUGACUCUAAAAAGAAUUUCAGCAUGUGUGCGGAACACAGAAGCCUGACCUUGACAGUGGUGCUGCUGCUUCUGUCUGGUGUUCUCUGCCAGUGGAAAGUGGUGUAUCCACAGCUAAGUAUCUGCGCAGUGAAAAACUCUUCUGUUGUCAUUCAAUGUUCAUUUUACUAUCCAGAAGACCAAGUAAUACGCGUCAUGUGGGGUCAUGUAAUGUAUCAUAUUUUUAAUGGUCCUUUCUUAUAUGACAGUGAGUUAGGGAAUAAGUCCUCAAGAUUUGAGUAUGUUGGAAACAAAAUAAGGAAUUGUUCUUUAAAAAUACACAGAGUAGAGUAUAAAGAUUCAGGUGAAUACGCCUUCAGAUUUGAAACUAGAACCAAAGGUGGCAAAUGGACUGGUAAAGAAGGCCCGAAAUUAGAGAUUGUCUAUCUAAGGGCUGUGGUGGCGAAAACUAAUGGAAAUAAAACAAUGAAGGAAGGCGACUCUGUGAAUCUGACCUGCAUAAACAGCUGUGAUGGUGGUAACUUCUCAUCUGCUUUCACCUGGUUUAAGAAUGGAGAACCCAUAAAUGAAGGACCUGUAUUUUAUUUAAGAAACAUUUCCUCCACAAACUCUGGAAACUACACUUGUUCCCUGACAACACACAAAGAAACAACUUCAGGAGUUAUAAAUAUUGAUGUUGAAUAUGGCCCCAAGAACACAUCAGGGUCUGUCAGACCAUCGACAGAAGUAGACGCUGGCAGCAACAUUACCCUCGCCUGCAGCAGCCAUGCAAACCCCUCAGUGGAGAAUUAUACUUGGUUUAAAAUAGUUGGUGAUGAUGAUAUUAAAAAAGUUGGAAACAAAACUGAACUGCACAUGAGGGAAGUUUUUCCUGGCCAGUACUUCUGCACUGCCACCAACAAACAUGGAAGUCAAAACUCUUCUACUGUGACUUUAAAGGUUAAAGUGUCUAUUCCCCACAGCACAUUUACCAGAGAUGCAUUUAUCGUUGCUGCUGUUACUGUGCUUGUGAUUGUGACCAUUGUUGUUGUCAUUAGAAGCCUGUGUGUUUCAGAUUCAACAAAAAAAGGACAAGAGCACCAGAGACUUAUUGUGAGGAGGAAAUACAGAGUGCAACCUACAUCAACUGGCCCAUGUCUGACAACAGCAAAUCGCAUGAGGGCAACAUGUGUGAAGAAACAACAAUAGGAGUCAUCUACGCAGCUGUUGACUUCAACACCAAGGGAAAGUCAAACAUGCAGCAGCAGCAGAUGGACUCAAAUUAUGAUGACGAAGGUGUGAUUUACAGCACAGUGUGCAGGGACCAAAUCUUGAAAACAUCGUAGUUUGAACUUCCCUAAGUAGACAACAAGAGCAUGUUGUUUGGCAGCAACAGGAGAAAGGAAAAAUGCAAAUGCAAAAAUGUCAACUUUUACAAAAACAGGAAAAACAGGAACAUUGUUGUCUAUUGACACUAAUUCUUCUUGAUCGAAAUGGGGGAAAGGACACUGUUAUAUGAGUCAAGUGGCUUUUAAGUGAAGGCGGUUUACUUGAGAUCAUCACUGAA